Molecule: long non-coding RNA, 217 nt
Filed under: Mustela putorius furo (domestic ferret)
Lineage: Eukaryota; Metazoa; Chordata; Mammalia; Carnivora; Mustelidae
Description: lncRNA (ENSMPUG00000028313.1)
Source: RNAcentral
GGAGUUGGUUCUGACUGUGAGUGACUGUCGGGCACAGGGGCUGGGAGAGCCCAGCCCGGCUUGGCUUUCUCUUCAGGUACCUGCGGACAAGUCCCCAAGACAAAAGGCCCCAAAGGGCUACAGAAGCAACAGGAACUUGCUCUUUGGAUAAUUCUCCAGGAAGGGGGCGGGACACCCCGCACGCACGCAGUCCUGCUCUGGAAUCUGGACUCCCCGC